Aedes albopictus (Asian tiger mosquito) is the source of this 16487-nucleotide long non-coding RNA. RefSeq lists it as uncharacterized. The transcript has 3 exons. Lineage: Eukaryota; Metazoa; Arthropoda; Insecta; Diptera; Culicidae. The record is from RefSeq and is a predicted model, not a curated record.
ACAUGCAUGCAGUGUUGUUUGGUCUGUUGCUUUCUGUCAUCCGCUGUUCGUCGACUCCGUUGCUCGGUUCAGGAGUUUUGUUGUGCGAACGACUCGACUGUGGAGCUGCUGUCUGAGUUGUGUAAAUAUUUUCAAGAUGGACGGUCGCGUAUCUCCGUGGCUCUGCUGCUACUGCGAGUGCAAAUACCUUUUCUAGUGUGUUUUUCUGUGUGUGAUGUGAUUUUUGAUUGUACGGUGGCGAAGAAUUUCGGGGUGUGAUUGGUUUCUUGCCGUGAUACGAAACGGAAACUCUGCAGAAAAUUUGUGUCGGAAGUGGGUGCGCGAUUGGGGGACCACACGAUUGACAACCAUUCUUCAAAGCGAAGUGCCGCAGUGUGUAUACGCAACAGAAGGAGGAAAAUUCGGCCGAGCGCAGUUUUUUGGAUUUUCACUCUUCGUUUGGGCGGAAAUCGCACCGCAGGUAACACUGAUAAGAUUGAGACUACAUGUAUGCAUCUGAAUAUGGUGUAUGGAAGAGUAAUGCGAACUAGUGCAGGUAUCAGGUAUCACUAGGUCAGCUCCAGAGGCACGUUCUCCUCCAUUUGGGAAAAUUGUGCCAUCGCCAUGAACACGAGCCUAUUCAUCAUUUACCUGAUGGAGAAGGGAAGGAAAAAGGAUAAAACUGGGGAAAGGACAGGUAACCGCUUUCAAUCAGAUUCCAGCAUGUUCAACAAGGUAGAGAAUAAAAGCACUGGGAUCUUAAUCACUGUCGUUUAUCGGUGGUUCCCUAACUACAAAUCUACCUGUUCAACAAGGGUAAAUUCUUGAAUUUUGGCAUAAAAUUAGCUUGUAAUUACCAGAAAUUGGCGAGAUAAGCUAUUUGAUUCUGAUCCUGAAUUCUCUACAAUUGUAAGUUUUUUGGUCGUUGAACAGGUAAAAAGUGAGGUUACGAGACACCACUGUGUUGUUACGAAACUGUCAAAUAGUUAUAUUUCAGCGAUAGCUUAAUAGACUUCAUUCAAAAGUUAUAUUUGAAUCAUCAAAUUGGGAAUCUCCUGCAGACUAGUGAUACCAAUACAAGUUUUUCGAAGUGAUCUACGGUGUUACCUGUCGAAUGAUACUAUUGUGUUGAAUAGGACAAUUCGUUCGCGAAUGUAUAAACUUAUCUUUUUUACUAUCGGGUUGCCGAAUGCCAAUGUGUUUUUUCUUUAGAGACGAGUGCCCCUUCAGGGUAAAGUUUCUCUAAACAAAAAAAAAUGUGUUUUUGGACGGUACCGCUGUAAGUUUUCCGUGCGUCCCGGAUGUGAAAAAUUUCGUCCCUUGAGUACCGGAAUUCGUACCAUUUGGUGAGCUCGUUCCUGCAUAUCUUUUUCGGUGCCCGAGCAUUGACCAAAUGUAUCCUAAGGCUUUAACCCUACCACUGAUAACUCCCAACUUUCUGUGCUGUCUAUUAGGGAGGCAACAGUCUCUGUUACUCUCUUAAGUAGACACUUAAAUAACUAUCCUUUCCUAAGCACGUGGUCAGGGCAGCUCUCGAACGUUGAAGUAUUGCGUGAAUCUUAUCUUAGAAGAGUCGAGAGAUUGGCCAUAAAUCUCUGUGCUUUGGUAGCAGACGGGAAAGACUGACGGAGCGAUCUAGGACUGUUGUGGCACUUGCUUAAUGCUUUUGCUAAAUUUCGAAAAAAAAAACGCACUUAUAAAUCUUGACAGUACUUUUUUUUGUUCCGUCAUUUUCUAUGAAGUACUUGCUGAAUAUAUUAAUGAUACAGUAGCAUUAGAAGUUCUCAUGUUCUGCAGCCUCCGAAGCAGUCACAAGUUUUGAACUAGGACUGUGCACCGUCAAUCUGUCUAUCAGGGAGGUCAUCCCUGGACCUCGUGAAACUUACUUUGUGUUUUCCGAAUUUAUUGGAUCCUGUACGCCACUCUUUCAUUUACCAGUUAUUACAAAACUUCAAGUUCUACAGAAUCAACAAAGGCUUAUACGAUACAUACAUUUCCGAAAAUAUAUGAUUAUUUUAUGAACACACUCUUGAACAAUCGCUGCAGUAAUCUCAGAACUCUGGUCUGCAAGGCCUACACUCUUAAAAAAUUAGGAAUUUACACGUGACGUAAACCAUCAACGUACGCAAACAUUUCAUGACUGAAUGUCAAAUUUGACUCAAUUUUACAUGAUGUAAGAGCGUAGCCAGAGGGGGGCAGGGGGGGGGCCGUGGAUUUUUUUUAAAUUCAAGCCGACUCAAAGAUUGUCAAUAAUUCAAGUGUUCCAGAAAAAAUAUUUAAAAAAACUAUUCUCUAGACUAUUCUAAUAAUUGGGGUUUUUAUCCACAAUUAUCCAACCUUUUUUUUUUUCUUGAGAAUCACAGGAAAUUUCGCCAAGUAUUUCUCCAAGAGAUCUACUUCAAUCUUAUCAUAGAAUUUAACCAAAUAAAGCUUGGAUGAAUGGUUAAAUUUUGUGAUGUUUAUUCAUGGAACACAAAAACAGCAUGGCAAGUUUCCGGUAGGGAAAAACAAGGACUUUGUAGAACUAGAGUGCAGUUAUAUGCUAUUGCUACACGAAUUUUCACUUGUAUUCAAUUCAAACAAACGUCAUGCUAAGAUAAUAAUACCUGGGAUUUCUUUACAAAUUCUUUCAAGGACAUCUCCAGAAAUUCCUUUAGGCAGUUAUUCAGGAACUUUUCCAAGGAUUCUUUCAGAAAUUUUUCAAGGAACAUAUCCAGGGGUUUCUCUUUCGUGAUUUUUUUCAUGGACAUCUUGCAGGGCUCAGAUAGUUUUUUUAGGGUUUGUUCCAAGAAAUGCUUUAAGAAUUCCCCCCACGAUUCCUUCAGUUUUUCUACAAAUACUUCUGCAAGGAUAUAUCGAUGAAUUCCUUCAGGAAUUUUCCAUAGCUUCCUUCAGUCAUUCUAGCAUGGAUUGCUCCAGAGAGUUUUCAAAGAAUUCCUGUAUGGGUUUCACCAGGCAUUUCUCCGGGAAUUUCUUCUGGGAUAUCUUGAGAAGUUCCUUCAGUGAUUGUUCCAGUGAUUUUUUCGAUAAUUCCUCCAGAAAUUUCCAGGAGUUCCUUAAAUCAUUGUACAAAACAUUCUCCAUCCAAAAAUUCCAACAAUAAUUCGUCCAAAAAAUAUUGCAGACAUGGAUGCCUUCAUUUUUAUUUUCCUACAGAAAUUCUUCCAGGAAUUUGUUAAGAAAGCUUUCCUGGGAUUUCCUAAGGAAUUCAUCAUGGGAUUGCUUCCGGGAUUCCUCCAGAUUUUCCUUCAAGCAUUCCUCCAAGUAUUCGACCGGGAAUAUCUUCUGUGUUUAUUUCAGAAACAACUUCAGGAAUUAUUCAAAAAAAUCCUCCAAGGAUUCCACCAGGAACACUUUUUAGAAUUCCUUCAGAAGAUUCAAAAAAAAUAAUCCAAUACUUCCUCUUGGAACUAUUUAGGAAUUCCCCAGGAUUUCUCCUGGGGUUUCUUCAGGAACUGCUACAGGGAUUCCCCAAGGCGUUCUUCCACGUACUCUUAUUAGUAUUCCUUCAGGAUAUCUCCAAGGAUUCCAUCUGCAAUUUCUUCAGAAAUUUUUACUGCGAAUUCUCCUUGAAUUUCUUCAGAGAUUCCUCUAUGAAUUAUUCCAGGGAUCCUCUGGGAAUUGAAAUGCGUAUAGAUAUUUCUCCAGAAAUUCCUCCAGGAAUUCUUAUAGAGAGUCCUCCAGGAGUAUUUCUAGAGAUUCCUCCGUUAAACUCUACGGGUAUUUUUCUAGGAUAUCCCCCAGGGAUUCCUCCAAAAAUUUCUGCAGGACUUAACUCGGGACUUCCUUCUGUGAUUCUUUCUGAAACAACUUAUUUUGAACAUCCUCCAAAGAUUCUCCCACGAACUCUUUUUAGGGUUCCUCCAGCAAUUCCUCAUUGUAUUUUUAAAGGAUCUUUUCUAGGAAUUGAUUCAGUACUUCCUCCAGGAACUGCUUAGGGAUUCCCUUAGUAAUUCCUCUUGAAAUUUCUUCCGGGUUUCCUUCUGGAGUUUCUUCAGAAACUCUUCUAAGGAUUCCUCCCGAAUUUGUUCAAGAACUCCAUCUGCGAUUUCUUGAGGAAUUAUUUCUGGUAUUCCUAUACGAAUUCCUUAAGAGAUUCAUCCAAAAAUUUCUUCAGGAAUUCCUCUAGGAAUUACUCCAGGAAAUCCUUCAGGGAUUCCUUCAGAAAUUCUUCCAUGAUUUUUUCUAGGAAUACCUUCUGGAUUUUUUCCAGAAAUUCCGCCAAGAAAUCUUUCAGGAUUCCCUCCAGGAAUUGCUACAGGCAUUCCUCCAGGAUUUGCACAAAAAUCUCCUCCAGGAACUUUUCUAGUGAUUUUUCCAGGGAUUUCUUCAGAAAUUCCUCCGGGAAUUUCUCAGGCGAUUUUUUCAGAAAUUUCUCCCAGAGCUCCUCUAGAGAUUCCCCCAGAAAUUCAUCCACAAAUUGUUGAAGGAAUUAUUACAGAGAUUCCUCCUAGAAUUCCUUCAAGGAUUCCGCCAGCAAUUCCCAAAGGAUAACCUCCAGCAAUUCCUCCAGGAUUUUAUUUAGGAAUUUCUCCAAGAAAAUUCUCCAGGAAUUACCCCAAGAAUUUCUUCAGGAAUACCUCCAGCAAUUUCUCUAGGAAUCGAUCCAGGAAUUGCUUCUGGACAUCCUUCAGAAGUUAUGUCAACAAUUUCUCCAGGAUUUUUUCCAGAAAUUCUUCUGGAAAUUUUUUCAGACAUUCUUCCAGAAAAUUCUCCAGGAAUACCCCCAAGAAUUUUUCAAGGAUUCCUCCAGGAAAUCCUUCGAAGAUUCCUCCAGGAAAUCCUGGAGGAAUACCAUCAGCAUUUUUUCAGGGAUUCCCCCAGGAAUUUCUUUACAAAAUGCUUCUAGGAUUCUUCCAAGGAUUUCUUCAGGAAUUCCUUCGAGGAUUUAUCCAAGAAUUCCUCCAGAUAUUCCGCUAGAGAUUCCUCCGGAGUUUUCUUAAGGGAUUUUUUCAGAAAUAGAAAAAUAAUAGAAAAAAAAAUAGAAAUUCAUCCAGUAAUUCUUCCAAAAAUUCUUCUAGAGAUUCCUCCUGAAAUUCCCAAAGGAAUACCUCUAGGAGUUUCUCCAGGAUUUUAUCCAGGAAUUUCUCCAGGAACUUAUCUAGGAGUUACCCUAGGAAUUGCUUCACGAAUUCCCCCCGGAAUUUCUCUAGGAAUUGCACCUGGACAUCUUGCAGAAAUUAUGUCAACAAUUCCUCUAGGUAUUUCUCCGGGAAUUUCUCAUGAGAUUCCAUCAGGAAUUGCUUAAGGGAUUCCUCGAGAGAUUUCUCCAUGGAAUCUCUUCAAGAAAUUCUUUGAAGAUUCCUCCAGGAAAUCCUGCAGAAGUUUCUCCAAGGAUUCUUCCAGGAAAUCCACUAGGGAUUCUUCAGAAAUUCUUCAAGAAUAUUCUCCAGGAAAACCUUCAAGAAUUUUUCAGGGAUUCCUCCAGGAAUUACACCAGGAAUUAAUCAAGGAGCACCAUCAUAAAUUAGGGAUUGCUUCAGAAAUUCUUAAUGGUUUUUUUCUAGGAAUACCUUCUGGAAUUUUUCCAGAAAUUCCACUACGAAAUCUUCCAGUUUUCCCUCCAGGAAUCGCUACAGAUAUUUCUCUAGGAAUUCCGCUAAAACUCGUCCAGGAACUUCUUCAGGGAUUUUUCCAGAGAUUUCUCCAGGUAUUCCUUCAGAGAUGUCUCUUGAAAUCCCUCCGUGAAUUUCUCAGGGGAUUUAGGUUCAGAAAUUUCUCCCAGAGCUUCUCCAUAGAUUCCUCCAGAAAUUCAUCCAGAAGUUGUUGAAGGAAUUCCUCCAGAGAUUCCCUCACGGAUUCCGCCAGCAAUUCCCAAAGGAGAACCUCCAGCAAUUCCUCCAAGAUUUUAUCCAGGAAUAUCUCCAAGAACUAUUCCAGGAAAUUCUUCAGGAAUUACCCCAAGAAUUUCAUCAGGAAUUCCUCCAGAAAUUUCUCUUGGAAUUGAUCCACAUCCUUCAGAAAUUAUGUCAACAAUUUCUCCAGGAAUUUUUCCAGAAAUUCUUCUGGAGAUUUUCUCAGAAAUUCUUCCAGAAAAUUCUCCAGGAAUACCCUCAGGAAUAUUUCAGGGAUUCCUCCAGGGAAUCCUCCAGAGGAUUCUGCCUGGAAAUCCUCUAGGGAUUUCUUCAUAAAUUCUUCCAGGAAAUUCCUGGAGGAAUACCAUCAGUAAUUUUUCGGGGAUUCCCCAGGGACUUCUUCACAAACUGCUUCUAGGAUUCCCCAGAGAUUCCUUCAGGCAUUCUUUCAAGGAUUUAUCCAAGAAUUCCUCCAGAAAUUCCACUAGAAAUUCCUCCAGAAUUUCAGAAACAGAAAAAUAAUAUAAUAGAAAUAGAAUUCUCCCAGAAUUUCUCUAGAAAUUUAUCCAGUAAUUCUUCCGAGAAACAGAAAAAUAAUAGAAUAGAAAUAGAAUUCUCCCAGAAUUUCUCUAGAAAUUUAUCCAGUAAUUCUUCCGAGAAUUUCUCUUAGAGAUUCCUCCUGAAAUUCCCAAAGAAAUGCCUCUAGUAAUUCAUCCAGGUAUUCCAGGAUUUUAUCCAGGAAUUUCUCCAGGAAUAACCCCAGUAAUUUCAUCAAGAACUACCCCAGGAAUUGCUCCUGGACAUCUUUCAGAAAUUAUGUCAGCAAUUCUUCUAGGUAUUUCUCCAGGAAUUUCUCCCGAGAUUUUAUCAGGAAUUGCUUCCUGAUUCCUCCAGAUAUUCCUACAGGGGAUUUCCCUCCUGAAGGGAUUCCUCCAGAGAUUUCUCCAUGAAAAAUCUCUUCAGGAAAUUCUUUGAAGAUUCCUUCAGGAAAUCCUCCAGAAAUUUCUCCAAAGAUUCUUCCAGGAAAUCCUCUAGAGAUUUCUUCAGAAAUUCUUUAAGAAUAUUCUCCAGCAAUUCCUGCAGGAAUUUUUCAGAGAUUCCUCCAGGUAUUCCACCAGGGAUUCCUCCAGAUAUUCUUCCAAGGAUUUCUUCACAAAUUUCUUCAAGGAAACCCCCUGGGAUUCCUUCAGGAAUUCCUUCGAGAAUUUCUCCAGUAACUCCACUUGCAAUUCCACUAGAAAUUCCUCAAGGGGUUCUUUCAAAAAUAGAAAAAUAACAGAAAUAGAAACAGAAAUCUCUCAAAAUUCUUCUGGAGAUUCCUCUAGAUAUUCAUCCAGUAUUUUUUUCAAGAAUUCCUCUAGAGAUUCCUCCAGAAAUUUCCACAGGAAUACCACUAGGAACUCCUCCAUUUAUUCCUCCGGGAUGUUAUCUAGGAAUUUUCCCAGGAAAUUUCUUCCGGAAUACCUCCAAGAAAAAACCCCAGGAAUUUCUUUUGGAAUAUUCCUGGCACCCUUCAGGAAUUAUGCCAGCAAUUCGUACAGGAAUUUCUCCUGGAAAUCGUCUUGGUAUUAUUUCAGGAAAUUCUCUAGGAAUACUUUGAGGAAAUUUUCAGGGAUUCCUCCAGAUAUUCCUCCAGAGAUUCCUCCAGCAAUUACUUCAGGGAUUUCUCCACGAAUUUUUCGAGGGGUAUUUCCAGAGAUUCCACCAGGGAAUCCUCCAGAAAUUCCUCCAAGGGUUCUUUCAGGAAAUCCUCCUGGAAUUUCUCAAGGGAUUUUUUUCAGAAAUUUCUCCAGCAAUUCCUCCCAGAGUUCCUCUGGAGAUUUCAUUAGGAAUUUCUCCCAGAAUUCUCCUAGGGAUUCCAAGAAUUCACCCAAAAAAUUGCUCAAGGAAAUUCUCCAGGAAUUCUUCCAGGAAUUACGCCGGGAAUUUGCUCAGAAGUUUCUACAGGCGUUCCUUCAAGGAUUCCUUCACAAAUUUCUCUAAGAUUUCAUAUAUGAAUUUUUAAAGACAUUUCUUAUGAAAUUUUACUAGGGAUUCCGUCCAGAAUUCCUCCAGGAAUUUCUCCAGAAUUUCCUCCAGGGAAUCCUCCAGAAAUUUAUCUAGGAUUUCCUCAUGAGAUCUCUUCAGAAAUUUCACUAGGUAUCCCUCCCAUAAUUUAUCCAGGAAUUCGUACAGGUUUAUUUUUUGAAAUUUUUACAGGAGUUCCUUCUGGAAUUCAAAAAUUCAAAAAAUUCUGGAGGAAUUUCUCCAGCAAAUAGUAUUGGAAGAUAAGUGGAAGCAUACAGGAACCAGGAAAUUCUAGGUUUAUCCUCAAAAGAGUUCGUAAUUUCCAAAAGAGUUCAGCUAUAAUUUCUGGUGAAUGUUUUGUAGACAUUGACAAAAAAAAUCAGAGCAAAAUAUUGCACGAGUAAAUAAAAAUCCUUAAUCUCCCAGAAAUUGGCCAUCGCUACCAGCACCACGUUGAUUUGUGUAGAUCAGGCGAGUUUUUGUUAACGUAUUUUACAAAAUACGACAGGGUUAAGGGUUAAAUAAAGCUUUUAGAAUAUAAUGUUAUUCAAUUUCAUCGUGUUGCGUUUAGUAAUAAAAGCUAGUAGGUACAUUUUUACUGAGGGUGCUUGCCCCCCCCUGACCGAAAAGCUGGCUACGCCCUUGUUACAUCCAUCAUGUAAGUUCGAGUUGUCAACAAACCUAUCUGACCAGAUAGGUAGAAACAGUUUUACAUUUAUCGUUUGUUUCGCAACUCGGUGAUACAGCCGAGAGGUAUAGUACGUGCCUCUCAAUCAGCGGACCAGAGUUCGAAUCCAGCUCAUUAUUUUACUUACAUAUGUUUCAUCUCUCAAAUUUAUAUGAUUUUUUUUAAGAGUGUACCGAAUCUACAGUGACGAAAAUAAAUAUUCUGUCAAUUGUCUGUAUUCGUGUGGAUUCGAUAAUACUUCAAAUUCUUCAAUAUAAUUUCUACGUAUCCUUUCAGGACGCACGCCUGUUGGAUCCUAAAACUGCACCGCGCUUGCACUGAAUACGUCGAACGAGGUAGUGUUGUACUUUUUACUCGAUUAUCCGGUGAUUUGAAAAAAAGCUUACCACUAUAGAUUUUUUUUAUUCUUCAAUUACUUAACCUAAUUUACAGCUCUAUUGUCCACUAGGGCACUGCGUGAGCGAUUCCAAUUGGAAGCUGUACAUACACUUUGUACAGCGCCUAAAUGUAUUCUUUUGCUUAUUGUACUACAUCGAAUUGGUUGCCGUUGCGCUGCUUUCACUAUCUACCCUAUCAUGGUAGAAUGAUGAACACGAGAAUGUUGAUGUGUGGCUGUUGGUUGUUACUGUUUCCAGUCCGAUUGUGGGUCCAUUAUGGGUUGCCGUUCGCCGAUGUUCAAGUAUCCGGGUUCAUUUGAGCCAUGGGCUCAGAAGAGGGUCACUGUCAGCUAAUCUCAGGGGGAGAGAGCAACUGAAGAAAGUGCCGGGGCUGGGAUCGAACCCAUGACCAUCUGCUUAUGAAGCAAACGUGUAGCCACUACGCCACGGGCCCCGGCAACGUGGAUAUUUAGCCGGUUGUUAUUCGUAUUCUUUUAGCGUUUCGUGUUAGGAUAACUUAUAUUGUGUAAUCCUACUGUAAAUUCCUCCAAACAUUUCUUCAUACUUCAAAAAAUCCAUUUAGGGAUUUCUCCUAGAAUUCUUUUUGGUGAUAUUUUCACGAAUGCCUUCUGCGGAUUCUUUCAGAUUGCUUAAUGGAUUUAUUCCUGGAAUUUUUUCAGAGAAUCCAUCAGAAGCUCUUUCAUUACUACAAAGAUUUUACGAUAAUUUCUUCUGGGAAUUAAUCCUGGUAUCUGUCCGGCGAAUUCUGGAGGAUGAGCUGAAGGAACUAUAGGAGACAACUCAGAAGAAACUGAUGAUACCCAGCAGGAACUCCUGGAGGAUUUCCAGUAGAAACUCCUUCAAGAUUACAAGGAGGAAUUCCCUGAGGAUUCCUAGAAAAACACCCGGAAGAUUCCCCUGGGGGAUUCCCAUACUCGAAAUAAAUUUAUGUUGGAUUCCCAUAAGAAACUUCUGAAUGAUUUUCAGAAGGUGAUUCUAGAAAAUUCACUUAAAGAACUCGAGGGCACUCAAAAGGAACUCCUACAGAAUUUCCAGAAGGAACUCCGUUAAUAAUCUUAGAAGGAUCCUUUCAAGGUUUACCAUAAGGAACUCCCUGAGAAUUCCUAUUAGAAACUCCUAGAGGAUUCCCAUAAAAAAACUUUUGGAGGCUUUCCAGAAGGAAAUUCUGGUGGAUUUUGAAGCAUUCCCAGAUGAAACUUUUGAAGAAUAUCCAAUAGGAAAUUCUGAAGUAUUAUAAAAACGACUCAGAAAAGAACCCAGCAGAUGCAGUGGAAGGAAUUCAAAAUUAAAGUCAAGGACGAAUUCCAGAAGAAACUUCUGCAGACAAUCCUGAAGGAAUCCCAGAAGGAGUUCUUGGAGAAAUUACUGGACGAAAUCCAUGAAGAAUCCCAAAAGAAACUCCUAAUUGAAUCCCAGAAAACAUUUUGGAUGAAUCCCAGGAAGAUUUUUAAGAAAAUCCCAAAAGGAAUUUCCAGAGAAAUCUCAGAAGAAUUUUUUGAAGAAUAAAAAUAAAAAUAAAAAAAAACAUCCUGGAGGAAUUUCAAAAGUAACGUUUUGGCGAAUCUCAGAAGAUAAUCCGGAAGGCAUUUCAAGAGGAUCUUCUGUGAAAAUCCCAUUAUGUGUUUAGGUAGUAUCGAUUCCCGGUAGGAUUCCUGAAAAGAUAUCCGGAGAAACUUUAAGAGGAAAUUAUUAAAGGACAUCUGGGUUAAUUCUAGAAAGAAUUCCUUAGGAAAUGCUAGAAGGUAGUCCCAUAGAAAACCCAGGGUUUAUGAACUAGUUUAGUUAUCUAAACGAGUCUAGUAGUAGUUCUUGGAGAAUUCCAAGAGAAUACAAAGAAAAUCCCAUUAGUUUUCUUAAAUGUGGCUCAGAGCAAACUCCUAAAGGAAGAAAACAGUGAAAAACUCCUGGAAAAACCGAAGAUUUUUUUUUGGAAAUCCUAGAGGAUUAUCUGCAAAAACCAUAGAAUAAACUUCUUAAGAAAUUCGAAUGAGUGUGAUAAGUUUUAUACGUAUUCUGCCCUCUAAUGCUUAUCCUUUGACAGAUACGCGUAUCUCAACUACCACCUGUAAUCUUUCUCAAUGUCAGUUAUCCACUACUGGAUGCAACCACUACUGGAUCUAACCACUACUGGAUAACUGACACUGAGGAAGAUUACAAGUGAUACUUACUCUAAAUACGCGUAUCCGUCAAAGGAUAAGCUCAAGAGGGUGGAAUUAAAAAGUACAAAACUGAUUACACUCAUGCGAAAAGAGUAUUCUGCUUAGAGAACAUCGUCCUGUAGAUGGGCAACAUCGAGUCGGCCAUAUACAGUGACCCCACAAUUUAUGAAUCGGCAAAAAUGACCACAGUUUAUGGUAUGGAUCACUCCAUUUGAUCAACAUGGUGAUUCAUAAUUAGUGUACAAAAAUUAAGGUGAUUCAUCGGUGUGGGGUCACUGUACCGUUUUUUGAAAGCACGCUCCUGAGCUGAGAGAACAGUAUGUGAGUGUAGCUCUUUGCAAGUGAGUGUUCCCAUCUUUGCCAGUAGGAUCCGAUGAGAUUUUCUAACGGUAUACAAAACUGAGAGGAAGGCUUUGUCCCAACUCUAUUGGGAUUUUAUUUCAAGAAGAAGAUUACUCCCGGUAUUUUUUUUUUAUUCCUGUUCGGGUUUGUCACUGCGACCAGUUUUUAGAUCUAUUGUGACAUUACCCGUAUCCUUAGUGUAGUGCAUGUCGCAUUACUCAAUUGCCAUUGAGGGGCAAUAAAGUAUUGAUUUUGAUACAGUUUUUGUUUUGUUUUCUUAGAAAACAAAACAAGAGUACUGAUAUUGGCCAUGCAUCGGAAACCUAGCAUCACCCUUGUUUUACUGCUAAAUUCUCCCCAGUAGGAAGUUUAGGACCCGGGUUUUAACAUUAGCAGCAAUAUCAUUUCAAUAAUGGAACAUGUGUUCAGUAAUAAGGAUUCUAGUAUGUUCCUUGCGUACUAGCACUUUCCAGUUUUCGAAGAGUUAGUACAUACAUGGAUCCCUAACCCAAUUUGAUUUCCUUUGCAUUGAGUUUAGCCUCAGAUGGUGAGGUUUUUAACUAUAUGCAAAAUACAGUUGGUAAACUCAGUUUUAUUCAAAAACUGGAAGUCACCAAAACACCAGUAGUAGGACUAAAUGCUAUAACUCCUUGAAUUACAAGAACACAUAUUCCAAAAUUGAAAAAUAGGACGACACUAGAUUUCGGUUUGGUAGAUCUAUCACCGCAACGCAACCCAAAAAGGCGAUCUACCCGCGCUACGGGCUCCGUUAAAGAUCGAGCAUCUUUUAAACCCCCUCAACCAUUCAUCCCUCAGCACGGGUCGCCUGACACCUUGGAUUGGGGUUACCUGUUUGGUGGACUUUUACCCCCGGAACAGGUGGUCCGUAGUGCUAUUCUAAGCCAGCAGCUACACGGGCAUACUCCCGGUAUAGUCAAUGCCCUAUUUGUUAUGAAACUAAUACUAGCCUAGCCGAAAGAUAGUAAACGAAUAGUAUGAAACGGGCUCACCAAUUUCUAAUACAGCCCGGAUUCGCUGAUUGGGUCAUGACUGUACCCCGAUUAGUGAACCGUGUUCGUUCGUUGGGCUACUGACAACUGCUCAGAAUGCUCAAGAUACAGGCAACUGAUAAGAAAUACGUCACGAACCACUAGGGGUACUCACUAAACAGAUUAAAUUGCUGCGUAAACCAUGAUUUUCUGCGUAUUUGAAAUUUUUCAUGAUUUUGCGAAUGAAAUAAUCAAAGAUUGCCUUGGGUGAUCGCGAAAUUUAAUCAGUUUACGCUGUUUAGUGAAUCCCCCUACUAACAUACUUGCGCAGACGUUCUAUAUAUAGGAUCUGCGGUGCGAUGGCGGACACACGUCAAACUCCUUUUGACUUCGAUUUUGACAUUGACAGUGCUUCUUGAUUGGGUUCUGCCACAACCAGUGGACAUUCAACCAUCGAGACAGCCCUUGUAACGAGCCCCCAACGAACCAAUCGGCACUGUAAAAGAUUGUCUAUAAACGCUAAUAAAAUUUGGUUAGGGUUUGCUGAACACGUCUGUAAUUGAGUGUGAACUCUGUGAGUAAAAAUGCGAAAAAUUACUCCUUAUUCAUUUCGCAUUGGAAUGCUCCCUGCCCAAGGGCAUCCGUUGUUGCUGCGUAUGUUUUUCAGACUUGUUGAUGAUGCAGCGCUCCCAAUAAAAACGACAAUUUCCACUUUCUUCAAAUACCUUACUUAAACGAUUUCAAUUGCAUUUUUAAAUUGAAGUAUCCAUCCACAAUUUGAAGAGCGCACUUGGGUUGGCAUCUGACACGAUAUACAUACAUAGCUUCUACCAUACCACAUGCGAUGGACUCCUCUCACGAAACCAGUAGAUCUUACCGAAUGCAUAUCACGCAACGACGGACGGCGGCGGCGGCGGCGACGACGGCGACAACGAAAACAUUCGCCGGAUGCCGUUUCUUCAAUUCGGUUGGAUCUCUCAUCCACAUGCUAGCCCGCUAGCCGUGGUAUUGAACAACGCACUGCACUGUGCGCUACUGCACUCUAUCACUCGCGACGCGAGAUUUGCCUGUGCGGCGCGCGGCAAGUGCAGCAGUUGAAGUAAACAGACAAUCACCACAAUAAUGCCCGCUGCUGCUGCUGCUGCACUGCUCUCCCUCUCGUUUGGGGUGGUUGGGACGUUGUUGGAUCUUGGAUCGAAACGGUGGUGAUCUCAUUUGUGUCGAGUGUCCGUCCGUCUGUCUGCCGGCGCGCCGCGCAGUUGUAUGCGCAUCCAAUUCAUUGAGUAAUGAUGAUCGUUCAGGAUUUGGGAAGGUUGAUUUGGUCCACGUUGGCGGAUGGGCAUUGGGCAUGAUGUUGCGGUUCGAAACUGCAAAAACAAUGCAUUUUAAUUAGCUUAGAAAUUGUGUUUGUUUUGAUUGAUCUUAAAAGUUUGUACAAUUAGGCUCAGUGUACCAGUUAUGGCUAUAGUACAUCAAAUUCGCCAUAGUCAAUUUUCAACCUUUAAUGAUGCAAAUCAACAUGAAAAAAAUGUGAACAGCAGAUCACGUUCACAAAAGAUGGUUGCAAUCAUUCAAACUUCACAAUUAGCUCAAAUUAUGAUAGAAAUAAAUCAUUUUCCUUAAAUUUUAGGCUUCCUUGCACCCUAUUUCGCCAUAGUGUACCAGUUAUGGAUAAUCCCAUAAGGAAUGCAUGUAAAUAGUGCGAAGUGGAACACAAAUUAGCAAAUGUGUCCAUAACUGGUACAGGGUUCCUAUCAUUGGCACACGCCGUAAUAAAUACUAAAAGUAAUUUUGGGCCCGUUUCUAUAUUUUUCCUGUAAAGUAUGAAAACUAAUCAAUCAUUUGACAUAUCGAUGACAUUCGACGGUCUUCUUCUUAUUUUUGUAGAAAUAGUUUUCACCCUACAUAUGUUCAAAAUUGCUAAAACUCUUGGGAUUCGUUUUGAGUAGAGGAUUGUUACUGUUAUAAAUGCAUAGCCGGUACCAAUAAAAACACUAAAUCGUUAAUUAAUAAAAAAAACGCCUGUUAUUCGAACGAAAAAACAGUACAGCUUUCUUGGGAAACCACCUCGGUCAUUGUCGCGUCGUCUGAGAAUGAGGAACGAAAACGGACGUGGUAAAAUGCACCAUGUACCAGCGAGCAGACGGGUAAUUGUAUCCUUCCGGUAAUUUUCGCUCGAUCACCUAAAACGAAACUGAAGCGUGUGAACGCUUGUACGCAAUCGGGGUGUGCUAUUGAUACAAACAGGCACAGGGGUUUUCCGAUUUUUUGCGGCCCGUUUUUUCACGUUUUGUGUGAUAGCAAGUUGGUGAAACUGUUAUCCGCUCAGUUCAACCAUCUAACAGCAAAGAUUUUGUUCGUGACGCAUUAUCAUCAAUCCGAUUUAGUGCUGUGACCGCAACAUUUUGAUCUGCGAAGCAGAAACCUGUCCGAAUUUCAUAAAACUCUUGCCUAUUAGCAGAUCUGGCUCGUUAUAAAGAUCAUUUUCAGCACAAAACACAAAAAAAUGUCAUUUUUUGACACGAUGUUUUUCAAUAAUUAAAAAAUAAUUUGAACAAGAAUUUAUUCAUGUGCUGGAUUUCGUGAAUCAUUUACUUUUGCAUCAAUACAUAACCAUUUCUCCUCACCUAACUAUUAGAAACAUUACUAAUAGAAACUACAAAAACAAAGCAGCUCUAUGGUUAGUAAUAGAAGCUACAGCUGUGUUCAUAAAAAUAGCAGUGAAAGCCGUUUUACAUACAAAUUGGCCAAAUUUGACUUGAUAUAACUUUGUUCUUAUAUGAGCGAUUGAGCUGAAAAUUUGACAGCGAACUACAAAUAUAGUGAAGAUUGUUAUAGCAAAAUCUGUGAAUUUUCGGAGAAUGUGAAAGAAAGUUAAACACUGUGAAAUUGAUCAAAAUAACAGCAUUGUUUGUUUUGAUUUCUUUUAUUCAGCAAAAAUUUUUAAAAUUCUCAGCCUUGUACAUUAUUUUGUAACCAAGGCGGAAACUGUUCGAAUUGCGUGCGGAAAAAUUUCUUGCCUCGUCAAAGUAAAGUUACAUUUCAAUUUAUUUACACUGCUAUUAUUUUGAUCAAUUUCACAUAGUGUUUUACUUUUUCCCACGUGCUUCGAAAAUUCUCAGAUUUCGCUACAAAAAUAUUAACAAUGUUUGUAGUUCGCUGUCAAAUUUUCCGCUCAAUCGCUCAUAGGAGAACAAAGUUACAGCAUGUCAAAGUUGGUCAUUUUGUAUGGAAAGCGGCUUUCACUGCUAUUUUUAUGAACACAGCUGUAUAUCAUUUAAUAUAGAAACGAGAGGACUUGGAAGUUUAGAAGAACUGUAAUAACGAAUUAGAAUAGCUCGAUUCAAUAGUAAAGGAAUUUUUAGAAGACAGUUUAAAAAUUUCCUUGGCAAAUUUUAAGAUUAUUGUAAGGUUUUUAAAUUGAAAAAAAAAAUAAAUAAAACGAAAAAAAAAACUAUACUUUAGUUUCCUUAUUUCCCGUUUAAAAAAACGAUGACAAAUAAAAAUUCUAGAAAAACAGUUAGUAGCAACAGCCCAGGAUGAUGGGUUAUUUGGCAAAUUUUGAGGCUGAAAGUCAGCCACAGAAAAAUAAUUAAAAAAAAUCUAGUGGUAAAGUUUUCGGAAAAUUUAAUUUCUAUGACAUCAACAUAGAUUUGCGAUAAAUAUUACUCUCAGUGUAUUUUUUCUCCUUCAAAGUCCUUCAAAUAUCCUCAAACAUCUUCGAAGACAUUUUUUUACACCCUAUACUUUUGAAAAGCUAUGUAAGUAUGUAUGCAAAACAAAUACAGGUGGACAUUACAAUUUUCAAAAUGUCUAUAAAAUAGAAUUUUACAUAAAAUCGAGGCAUUUUUUUAAUUUUAUUUUAAUUGUAUACCAAAAUGCACCAAAACCAAUGAAAACUGAGUUUUCGGUAAAAGGCUCGAUGUUUUUGGCAUAGGGUGACGAUGCGGGUUUUUGUCGGCCAAAUUUCCUGAAACUUGGUCGUAUAAUUCAGCUUGGUUGGGAAGGAUUUGAUCUUGUACCGACUAUUCGAACCCUCUAAGCAGAAUACUCUCUUCGAAUGAGUGUAAUCAGUUUCGUACCUUUUAAUUCCGCCCUAUGUUGCUUAUCCUUUGACAGAUACGCGUAUU